UAAAGCAAGAAAGGGCGUAUGGGGAAUGCCUAGGCACACUCCGGCGAAGAAGGACGCAGCAAACAGCGAAAUGCGACGGGAAGCGGUAAGCACGCAAAGAUCCGUCGAUAUCCGAAUGGGGGAACCCGCAUGGAGUCAAAUCCAUGGAUCACAUGUUGAAUACAUAGACAUGAUGAGGCGAGACGCAGGGAACUGAAACAUCUAAGUACCUGCAGGAAGAGAAAAUAAGAAUGAUUUUCUGAGUAGCGGCGAGCGAAAGGGAAAGAGCCCAAACCGAUCUGAGGAUCGGGGUAGUAGGAUCAUCAAGGAAUCUGACAGAGGAUCAUAGAGGAAUCACAUGGGAAGGUGAGCGAGAGAGGGUGAGAGCCCCGUACUCGAAAUGAGAGACUGGAGAGAGAUGACACCUGAGUAGGGCGGGACACGAGGAAUCCUGUCUGAAUCGGCCGGGACCAUCCGGCAAGGCUAAAUACGAGAGUAGUGACCGAUAGUGAACCAGUACCGUGAGGGAAAGGUGAAAAGAACCCCGGGAGGGGAGUGAAAGAGAACCUGAAACCAUAUGCCUACAAGAAGUCAGAGCCCGUUAAAGGGUGAUGGCGUGCCUUUUGUAGAAUGAACCGGCGAGUUACUGUAUGGAGCGAGGUUAAGCAGGAUAUGCGGAGCCGAAGCGAAAGCGAGUCUUAAGAGGGCGAAAGUUGCAUGCAGUAGACCCGAAACCGGGUGAUCUAGCCAUGACCAGGUUGAAGUUGGGGUAAAACCCGAUGGAGGACCGAACCGACCCCCGUUGAAACGUUGGCGGAUGAGUUGUGGCUAGGGGUGAAAUUCCAAUCGAACCCGGAGAUAGCUGGUUCUCCCCGAAAUAGCUUUAGGGCUAGCGUCGAGGUAGAGAGUUGCGUGAAGGUAGAGCACUGAAUAUGUGAUGGCCCCAUCUCGGGGUACUGAGCAUAAUCAAACUGCGAAUGUCACGGAAACAUACUCGGCAGUCAGACAGCGGGUGAUAAGGUCCGUUGUCAAGAGGGAAACAGCCCAGACCAUCAGCUAAGGUCCCAAAAUGUAUGCUAAGUGGAAAAGGAUGUGGAGAUGUACAGACAACUAGGAGGUUGGCUCAGAAGCAGCCAUCCUUUAAAGAGUGCGUAACAGCUCACUAGUCGAAUGACUCUGCGCCGAUAAUUUACCGGGGCUAAGCAUACUACCGAAGCUAUGGAUCCCAAGGGAUGGUAGGGGAGCGUUCCAUGAACGGAGAAGCGCGAUCGAGAGGACGCGUGGAGAUCAUGGAAGAGAGAAUGCCGGUGUGAGUAGCGGAACGUGGGUGAGAAUCCCACGCACCGAAAACCCAAGGUUUCCAGAGGAAGGUUCGUCCGCUCUGGGUAAGUCGGGACCUAAGGCGAGGCCGAGAGGCGUAGUCGAUGGACAACAGGUAGAGAUUCCUGUACUCAUAUAUAUGUGAAGGAAUGACGGAGAGAGGAAGCUGCAGCCAGCGGCUGGAAGAGCUGGUGCAAGCGAGAUAUCGGGAUGGCAGGCAAAUCCACCAUCCGAAACGAGAAGGCGUGAAGCGUACGGAAAGCUAAGGCGAGUACGGAAGGCAGUGGAGGAGCUUCCAAGAAAAGUUUCUAACGAAAGUAUAUGUGACCCGUACCGAAAAUGGACACACAUGGGUGAGGAGAGAAUCCUAAGGUGAGCGAGAGAACUAUAGCUAAGGAACUCUGCAAAAUGACUCCGUAACUUAGGGAGAAGGAGUGCUCAUAGAGAUAUGAGCCGCAGUGAAACGGCCCAAGCGACUGUUUACCAAAAACACAGCUCUCUGCUAAGCCGCAAGGCGAAGUAUAGGGGGUGACGCCUGCCCGGUGCUGGAAGGUUAAGGGGAGGGGUUAACGCAAGUGAAGCCCUGAACUGAAGCCCCAGUAAACGGCGGCCGUAACUAUAACGGUCCUAAGGUAGCGAAAUUCCUUGUCAGGUAAGUUCUGACCCGCA
RNAcentral lists this ribosomal RNA (1968 nucleotides) under human gut metagenome. RNAcentral describes it as "bacterial LSU rRNA". It matches the Rfam family "Bacterial large subunit ribosomal RNA", at positions 1 to 1992 of the family's 2925-position model. The record is from RNAcentral.